CUGAACUUUCUCUUUUUCGCUGAUUCUCCACAACUGUCUCUGCUGCGCCAUCGCUUUCUUCGUUGGGCGCUCGCGUGAGGGUGCUAUACUCGUGGUACCGACGUUUUACUGUCUUGACGCGCUCACCCAGCUAGCCUGCCGUCCGGGUGCUCGACCAAGGCGUAAAUACCCAGGGAUACGCCGGCACAAACAAAAGGGUGCGCGCAAGCACGUUGGUGGCCCGCCACCCUCUCCUGCGGACUCUUCAUCUUUUCGCGCCUCGCCAAAUCUCUCCUUGCUUCGUCACCUUUUUCUCAUCUCAGCGACUACGAUUAACAAAACAGACGAAACACACAAUUGAAUCUUAGAGCAGCAGCAGCGGCAGCAGCAUCAACUGCUAAUCUAUCUAGUGUUGUCACCCUACUUCAUGGGAUACUUUUUUCUCCGUGCGUCUCUCUCUCUGUGUGCGCGCAUCUUUUCGACAUCGCGCUUUUUGUGUAUUUCUAUUGCCGGCCCUCCCCUCCCCUCGCUUCGUUGCCCUCUCGCUCGUGCUUUGCCCCUAAGCGCGAGCGUGCCCAUUCGUCUUUGUGCUUACCACCCGUGAAGGCCAUUUUCCCCUCCUCCCGACCCAUCGACGCGGCGUGAUUCUCACUCAUCUGUCUCUCCUCCAUUCAGGAGCCAUUCAGAAACGGACGAACCGAAACAAACGGAGUACAGACGCUGGCGUCGCGGUAGACGCGCUCAUCGACGCACGCACAGUUGCUCACUAUACCGACCGCAGCAAAGGUAAAAAAAAAACGUGCCCAUCCCCUUCUUUUUUUUUUUGAUUGCGUCUUCAUCUGUUUUGAAUUCCGUUCUCGCAUUCGAGGGGUGCAGACAAGGCACAAACGCACAGACAAGCGGUGAGGAUCUGGUAAGAGAGACACACCCGCUUUUGUUUUCGUGUGCUCCCCCUUUUCGGCGGCUGUUUUCUCUUCCUCUCUCCCUCCCCCCAACCGACACACACACACACACACACCUCCGUCCUGACCUUUCUUGCUUUUCAUUUUUGCUGUUUCGCUCUUUUCUCCUGUUCAGCUCCUUUUAUAUAGUGUCUGUCUGUCUGUGUGCGUGUUGUCUUUCAUGUCCGUCCCUCCUCUCUGCUUCCCUCUUUCCCUCAGUGCGUAUAUACGCGUGCGUCUGUCUGUCUGUCUGUGUUUUCGUGUGGCUGGUCCGCUGGCCUCUUCCUCCCCUCCUCCUCCUCCCCACGUCUGUGGCGCUUUGGUGUUUUUUUUCGGUUUGUUUCCGUCUUGCUCCGUCGUUCGAGUCAAAUCAGCUUCAUCUGUCGAAUCCGCUUAUCAGUCACUUUGGCCUCUGUACUCCCUUGCUCCUCUUGCGCAGAGACGCAGGCGAACAUGUCCGCUCUUUCCCCUUCGGCUACUCCCGUCACGCUGCGCUCCGUAUCAGGCAAGAGCCUGCUGGUGACGCCGCCCGUGACGCUGGCUACGGUGCUGACAGUCGCUACUGGCCCGCCUUUCUCUUUCACGCCGGAAAGCGUCAAGAUCCUUCUUCAUGGUCGGAUUGUGCGCCUCCUCCAGUACCAAAAGCAGCACGGCAGUGACGUGUUCAAACUUCCUCUUGAUGCCUCCGCGUACACGCCGCCGAGGACGAUCGCCAAGUGCGAAAAUUCUGUCGCGCUCGCGUCAUCCUCUUCCUCCGGUGCCGAGUUCAAGGCUGAGCCCCGCUCUGUCAUUGUCUAUGGGGUGCCGCAGCACAUUCGGGCGACAGCCUCAGCACCGCACACCGGUGCGCAGGAGCCGGCGGCCCUCUCCACACCCUUCGCUGAGGCUCACGGAAAAUCGCUUCCAAUAUCAACUUCCCCCCGCGUCGGACAGCAGGAGUGUUCUGACAGUACUUGCACCACUAUCGCUGCGACGCCUACCACUGCAAAGGCGAGCCGGCGAGCGUCGUUGAUGCGGCUGCCCGUCAAUUCACCGACGGCACGCGCUACCCCGAUCAAGGGCCCUCUACCGUACCCACACAGCCCGGAUGGCCUCCGUGAGCUUGACAAGAUCUGCGCCGAGUUCGACUCGGACGACGACGAAGACCUCAUCACGCUGCUGCAGGGCGCGCCGCCGAGUAUCUACAACCAUCCCACGGUGCUCUACAUGUCAAACAAGGUAAAGGGUGAUUUGGUCAUUCUGCAGGCGGCGAUGGAGCAGAUCGCGCGCGUGUCGCCUGUCUUCUUCGACUGGAUUGUUGAGAAUCCGCAGAGGUUCUUGAGUGCGCUCAACCGUGGCGGUGAGCGCUCGCUGCAGCAAGUAAAGGAUCAGCUGCGCAUGCUUGCCAUGCGAGCUAUGGCGGACCAGAUGAGCGGCGAGACGCCGUCCCGCCAUGUAAUGAUGUUGGAGGUGAACACGAGGGAUGGCUCUCCGGACGUGUACCAGGUCGAGGUACAGGUGGGCGAUUUCUCCGACGCGUCGACUCCGAGCGACUCUCUCACGCCGAACAGUCUCGCAGAUAACAACUCGGCGGAGGAGGAGAAAGGGGACGGGGAAGACAGUGUGAACACGGACGACGAGAUGGAGGAGAACGACACGGCUGCGUCGAGCGUCGAUGCAUUUGCCGAGGACGGCGGCGUUGCCGAGGGCACGGAAGAGGAGGAAGAGGGGGACGAACGACAUCGGGGCGCCAUUCUUUUGCCGAGCACCCCCGGGCCCCUUGAGGAAGCACCUUCUGCAUAUCCGCCGUCGGGCACGGUGCCGUCGCCGGACCGUGCGGUGACGGGCGCCAUGCUGUCGCACGGAGGUAGCGUGACUAAGGCCGAGGAAAGAGCGUCCGCUGAGGAGCGCGAAUUGCCGUUGACUCCGUCUAACCCAGCGGAUGCCGUCGCUGCCGGCGUCGCUCGUCGCUCAUUCCCACCCCUGCCCUCCACCUCUUCGGCUGCCGCCAGGUCUACCCCUCUCGACGUGGCAGCGAGCCCGGCCUCGCCAGCCGUUUCUCCACAUGAAGACAGCGACGCGGAAGACGUGCGGCUAUCGGGUCUACGGAAGGAACUGGAGCACGUCGACUCCUUGACGCAGCAGUGGGCGCAUCAGGCAACUAACGACGCGGCACACAGAGCGCACGCUGCCAUCUCGAAACUCCGUCGCGAUCUCUUUACCGUUCUGAACGAUCUCAUUACCACCUCGUCCACGCCCGCUUCCUCGUUACGCAGCUUCGGGGAUGUGCGGCGCCUUGCUGUCCUCGCCUGCAACUUUUUCUCCGCAGCUGAGGAGUUUUAUGUGCAGCUGGAUGAGCAAGGUGUGCGCUCGUCCGUGUUUGGCGAGACGCCGCAGGACUCGGUGGCGGCAUUUGCGGCUGUGGCCGCGCUUAGUCGCCUUCUCGUGUGCGACGUGGACGCUGCGGUGGAGCGGCAGCUGCAGGAAGGCACACCUGGUCUUAGCCGCGUCGGUGCGCUGCGCUCGGUGCGGCACAUCCAUUCGAUUCGGGAAAGCCCUGCGCUGCGCUGGACAACCGCCGAGGGGCCAGAGAAACUGUUGAUGGCUCUCCUGCAGCUCUGUCGCCAGCAGCGGGCGGUGGUACUGUGGUACAGCAGCCACUAUGUCCUGAAGGAGGUGGGCAAGACAAUCCAGACAAUUGCCUACAUCCUCGGCGGCAGGGGGGAGGGCCAGCAGACGGUGUCGCUGCAGCGUUUGAAGGUGACGAGCAAAACGCAUAAACAGGACGAGGUGGCCGACUGCAUCACCGCGCUGUCCGACGCACUGGCGGACACCGGCACUUUGUCGGACGCCAUGCGUUGCCAAUGGUUUACUCUCAUGCACAGCCGCUAUCAGCGGCUCGUGCUCCCCAUCGAAAAGGACCUUCCCGCGCCCCACAUGACAUCGGAUCCGCUCUACGUGUGCGACACACGGCACGUGCUGCCCCCCAAAGGCAGCGGUGCACACCCAGACACGUUACAUGGCACCAUGGACAGCGCGGCUCGCUGGUGGGCCGGCUACUGUGACGAUCGACAUACCUGCUGCGCUGACAAGUGGUGCCUGGCACUGACGGAGCGGUUGUGGAACAUCGUCACGGCCAUGGAGAACGCUGCUGCGGAGGUGACUGCAGAGAACGUGGUUCUUGUGCUGACGGGCGACGGGACUGAGGCAAGUGCCGCGAACUCGCCUUCACUGGAGGCGGCCGUGCGUGGCUGGCUAGGCGACAUAACGUGGAUCCCGGUCGACAGCGUUGUAGCACCAUCGGUGGCAACAGCAUCGACAUCGCUGUCACGCUCCGUCGCCCGACACUCUGCGGUCCUUUUCGAGCAGGUGUGGCCCCCCGCGGAGGCGAAGGACGGGAUAGCAGCGGCGGACCCCUCUUCCAGCGUGGCUGGCGUCCAUGGUAUGCUGCCCCUCUUCAGCGGCGACGUGCAUAUGGUGGAUGUGGCUGCGGUGGCCGCAGGGCAUAGGCCAGUGUUGGAACUGGCUGGCGGCGCAGCUUUGCCGACGUACUUGGCAACAGUUGCGCGCAACUUCGUAUUACCUGCCUCUGCACGCGAGCAGAUCUUCGUGCGGCACUUGUUCGGCAUGUUUGCGAAGUACCCACGUAUCCCGGUGGCGGCGGCGGUGCGAGAUGCGGCUCUCGCCAACGCACGCUGCCAGGAUUCACCGUGGCUGGUGAGUGAAUACGUGCUUUACGACUACGGCGGUGCAUUAUCGACCUUUACAGACGCUGAUGAAAAGGCAGACACCGCCGUUGCAGUAGGCGCAGCUGUGACAACAAAGCCGGCGUCAUCUACCGCCGCCGCAGCCCUGCCCUCACCCAUGACAGACCCAUCGGCCGAGUGUGCCAGCGACACUUUUGUGCGCAUGCCGAGCGUACCGCUGGGCAAGCGCUUGAGCACACCUCGCCCGCUGCCGCCAACGCAGCGUAGACCUGUUCGCGCCACCCUUCGCUCACAGCUCGCACGUGCGCAGGCGGCUGCCGGCGCGAUGUCAAAGCGCCAAUACGCCCGCAGCCAUGCCGUCGAUGAACUGUACGAGAUGAUGCUUGGCAGCUUGCUUGAGCACCGCCCGACCGGUGAGGCCAAUGUGCUGGACCACUUAGUGCAUUACGUGGAGUCGUCGCAGGACGCGAUGCGGGGCCGCGUUUACAAGAGGCGGGCAGAGGCUGCCGCCGCUGCUGCGGCGCAGAAGGUCGCCCACAGCACCAAGCCCAGUCAUUCUGCGGUGGGCGGUGGUAGCAGUUGUACGCAGCCGCAACCGCCAGGUGGAAAGCCUAACUCCUUCGCGCGUCGCAGACAAUGAUGUCGUGCACCAUGCUUGACACGGAUCAGGCAACGGUCACGAGAACUGCUGGCGCUCUUCUGUGCCUUUCGCUGCACAUACUGGGGAUGCUACUGCUCUCGCAGCGUUUUCCUUUCCACUGUGUGUGUUGGCGCUGACUUUCUGCGUGCUCUCUCCGACCUUCGCAGAAAAGGCUAGGGGAAAUCGUCUCCCAGCACACCUACUUUGAGGUGCCACCACAACUCCCAGUACUUUCCUCGUCUGCUUCGCCAAGGUGUCUCUUUGUGCGCUGGCGCGUGAUUGUCCGCGUGCCCCUUCCACUUGCCACACACACCCGCUCCUGUCACGCGCGUGCGGAUUGAGGAGGUGGAGCGCCCCUGCCGGCACAGACUCGUAGCCGCGCCGACACGCCUCCUCCCUCUCCUCCCUCUCCUCCCGCUCCUCUCUCCCCUCGCAUGGCAUCGACGGGAAACGGCAGAUGAGGGCAGCGAGCCACCCCCCUUCCCCCCUCCCCCCCAAUGCACACAGUGGAUGCGUGCGAAGUGUGCGGCCUCUCCCCCAUGCGGCCGGGCGGGUGCGAUGAGGCACGACGAGAGCGCCGCGAAUGGCGCCGUCGAGCCCUCCCGACUGCGGUGUGAAGGGUGCCCACACCACCUUGUGGGAUGCCGCGGCUGGAAGCGACUGAGAGGGCGCAGCACGUGUGCGAAGGAAGGGACGAGGAAGGACAGGAGGAGCCUGCUUAGACGCGUGGCCCCGAUCCGGCGGCUGGACGCUGCGCCCUCGAGGACCCGGAUGUAGUCGCGGCGCCACAGGAGGUGGGUGCGCUGCGGUUGGAAGCGCAUACCUUGACUGACGUGUUCCUGGUGGAAUGGCACAGCGCGAAGAGAAUAGUUUCUCGCGUGCGUUGCCGUUGCUGUGGUUUUCGCGAAGCGGCUGAGAGUUUUGCACUCGAACUCUUUGCCUUGUCCUCUCACCUUGCAUUUAGGGGGCCCCGUCGGGCGUUUUCUUUUUUUUUUUAUUGACUUGUCUCCGUUUGUGUGUGGGAAGGCGACUUCGUAUGGGGCGCUGGUUUUAUUUCUUCUCGUACAUGUGCAUCGGUGGUGGGGCGAUGUGUACUGUGUUAGUGUGCGAUUUUUCGUUUCCCAAGUUUGCGAGGAGAUUCUUUUCUUGCAUCGUCACAUUACCUUUGAGGGGAGGAGGAAGCGGGGCCAGAUGUUCAUGGCGCAUUUCUGUUUCUGUGUGUGUGUUGUCUUGUGGCCGCGUCUCUCGCUGUGGAGCCUCGAUUGGAUGCAAGUUUGGUGAUUCUGCUUUCUCUGUCUUACCAUUUCCAACCGCAGUUGAUGACGUGCACACUUUUCCUUCUUCCCUUUAACAUCACCGGCGGUGCUAUGUCUUAAAGUUUGGUGGAACGUGGUUGCUCCACGGCACUACUCUCCUUUUUCUAGCUGUUCAAGGAGGGCGAAAGGCAUGGCGGACCCCGGUUCGGUGACCCUGACGUCCGUGAGGAAGGUGAUUGUCGGAGUCGACGUAUGUGCAAGCGAGACGCACCGAACGAAACAAACCGUCCACUAUGGGGGGCGAAAAGAUAUGUGCAAAGGAAGCAUAGAGAGCAAGGAAUGCGAUUGCGGUGGGGUCUCGUGGUCAUGCGGGUGCGUGCGUGUGUGUUGCCCUUUCAGCUCUUGUGCGAUAUGCGCCGAUGUAGAGUUUCGCUGUCCUCUUUUUGUUUCUUUGGCUUCUGGCAUCAUUGGCGAUGAGCCGAUGGCGUUGGGCUUGCGUAUGUCUUUGUUCUUGCCGGUAAUUGUGUGUGCUGGCGUACUUGGCACAGACACGGUAUGCCUUGCUGCAGCUCUUCUUUCCUUCCCUCCAUCUCUUGCGCACGCCACGGAAGGGAGGACUGAGGUGGGGAAGACAAAAUGGAGAAGUCUGCUGAACACCUGCGCUUGAUUUUCUGUGCUGGCUACCUACGCACAUGCGCCCCGCUCUGCGAGCCUUCGUUUCCAUCUGUAUAGUCUUUUUUCUUUUCGCUUUAUUUGCGGUUCCUCCUGCAUUUCCCGCUUCGUGCUGAGGCGAUCACACGUAGGUGCUGAGCGCACACGACAUUUUCAU
This 7331-nucleotide unclassified non-coding RNA is filed under the name Leishmania donovani. Its description in RNAcentral is "gene:LdHU3.36.1060(CDS-product:hypothetical_prote in_conserved)". The record is from RNAcentral. Lineage: Eukaryota; Euglenozoa; Kinetoplastea; Trypanosomatida; Trypanosomatidae.